AAAGUCGUAACAAGGUCUCCGUUGGUGAACCAGCGGAGGGAUCAUUAGUGAGACUUAGCGCUCCAACCCUUGCGAACAUUACCCAUUGCGGCGUUGCUUCGGCGGGCUUGCUGGCGGUCGUGCACUGGUUUUCCAGCGCGCGUCCGCCGGCAGCGCCAAACUCUUCAGUUUUUAGUGGAAAGUCUAUUCUGAGUGGAAAAAACAAAAUAAGCAAAACUUUCAACAACGGAUCUCUUGGUUCUG
Molecule: unclassified non-coding RNA, 243 nt
Filed under: Ascomycota sp.
Lineage: Eukaryota; Fungi; Ascomycota
Description: partial contains small subunit ribosomal RNA, internal transcribed spacer 1, and 5.8S ribosomal RNA
Rfam family: Eukaryotic small subunit ribosomal RNA (bases 1-47)
Source: RNAcentral